Molecule: long non-coding RNA, 1217 nt
Organism: Tribolium castaneum (red flour beetle)
Lineage: Eukaryota; Metazoa; Arthropoda; Insecta; Coleoptera; Tenebrionidae
Exons: 2
Source: RefSeq, a predicted model, not a curated record
AAACAACAACUUUUAGGAUUUUUAUUCGUACAAAAAUACAAUCUAAAAUCACAGUCAUCAAGUAAAUAAAACCUUAGUUAAGCCGCGUUCGCAUUCCUCGACUUUACCAACUUAUUGAACAUCAUUUUGGAAAUAAGUCGUCAUUGCGACUCCUUGCGUCGUGACGCCCUGAAAAGUUAAUUGAAGCUUGACAUAACGUACCGCAAGAUAUCUUACGAAUGAAGCUUUGGAGGCGUUUAAACUACUAUUAGACCCCAUGUAUAUCAUGUUAGCUAGAAGAGGAUUCAGCAAAUAUGCACAGUAUGUCAAACGGCUUAGCGGAAUCCAACCUCGAAACGAAAGGAAUUUCUCUAAAGCUCCUGGAAAGAUUUUUAAAUUUCCGGUGCUAGGUUCAGGUCUCGACUCACGUGCGUUUCCUGUGGAACACGCGAUGAUAAGCCACCCUAAACCAAUCCCCCACAGAGUCCUUGACACUCCCAUGUACACUGCAGAAAACUCUACCGAUAAAUUUCUAGUGUACAAAGUAAACAAAAUCCAUAAAUUGAGGAGCGGAAACAAAGUCCACAAUAUAAUACGGGUUCUCUGAAAUCAUCAGCAUAAUAUUUGCCCACAAAUGCAAGACACUAACUUCUUUCAAAACCAGUUUUUGUUUUAAUUUAAUUACGUAAAUGUAAGCCGUAACAACUCCAAUUAAAUAUGGCCCAAUUCUGUUCCACGGCAAGUCAUAAAUUGCGUCAAGCUCAGUCAGUUGCUCAUCCAUACUAAAAUUAAUCACUAACACCUAAUUACCCAAAAUUAGGACUUACGUUGGAAUGUAGCGAAUAGUGUAAGACUUGUAAGUCGUGGCCAAAACAUUCCCAAUUAUUAAGAGAACUGUUAAAGCGGCUGAAAUUUUAAAUUUGCUGAAAGAAAACCACUGUUUCAGUUGAUUUUUCCCCCAAAAAAUACUUUACCUUGUUGACAAAAUGAGUAAAAACGAAACGACCGUAAAGAACUGAGUAUCAACUGACAAAUACCACGACCAGCUCAGACACAUCUCAGACCUCGGGUACAAGUUAUUAAUGUACAACAAAUUUCGCCACCAAUAUUUGGGGCAAAGCUCCUCGUUGCGUUCGCUGGAAUAAAGCACCGAAGCUUUGCGAUAGUACGUAUACAUAACAUCAGUCAUCAAUAUAACAAAUACGUAAGGUGGUGUUAGUCUUAAAAAUCGGUUGAGG